UGUUUCCCCUUCGCUAUGUUUCCGGUUUCGGAUUUUAACAGUAAAACAGGGAAGCAUGUGAAGUUUACUUUUGUUUAACUACCUUUUGUUCAACGAUGAAGGGAUCUUAGACUUGUAAUACUGUUUACUGAUUUGAUUAUAUUCCUUGUUCCUUUGAUGGUUAAUUCCACUAUACAGCUGGUUCAUAUACCCUACAACAGCCAGGAAAUUGGCCUGUUUACUUUAAGAUCCCAAGAAAAUGUAACAUAUUUUGGAUGUGCUUUGAGGAAUCAGGAAUGCAAGUGUUUCCUCUUGUUUAUGAAGCAACUCAGUUGGUUAAGGGGCAGACAACUUGUGAGCAUGGUACAUCACUACCUGUAUUGGUAUUCCAUUUUGACAAUGUUGCUAGCUAGAAUAGAAAUAACAUCUUGCUGUGGUACAAUCUGUGGAGAAUUGUACUAGGAUAUCACAGAUCGAUUGAAUAUUCAACAAUGAUCACAGACCAUGCAAAGUUUGAAUCUGACUUGCACUUUUGAAUUUAGAAGAAUCUGUGGAGGAGGGUGAAUGCUGAGACCUUUAAUAAUACAUGAUAUUGCUGACACAGUAUGUCAGUCAUGAAAGAAAGGCCAUAACACUGCACAGUUGGUCAACAAUGAUUUAAAUCCUGUCACAUUCUGCCAGUGGAGAAAUAUCUUAUCACAAUAUUUUAAACUUUUGAAGAAGAUAAC
This is a long non-coding RNA of Mercenaria mercenaria, 707 nucleotides long. RefSeq lists it as uncharacterized. The record is from RefSeq and is a predicted model, not a curated record. The transcript has 4 exons. NCBI's taxonomy places the organism in Eukaryota, Metazoa, Mollusca, Bivalvia, Venerida, Veneridae.